This 511-nucleotide ribosomal RNA is filed under the name uncultured bacterium. RNAcentral describes it as "bacterial SSU rRNA". It matches the Rfam family "Bacterial small subunit ribosomal RNA", at positions 8 to 492 of the family's 1533-position model. The record is from RNAcentral.
AGAGUUUGAUCCUGGCUCAGAACGAACGCUGGCGGCGUGGAUAAGACAUGCAAGUCGAGCGAUCGUUAACGGGUAGCAAUAUUCGUUAGCGGGAGCGGCGCAAGGGUGCGUAACACGUGGGUAAUCUGCCGUGAAGUUUGGGAUAAUCCCGCGAAAGCGGGACUAAUACCGGAUGUGACCAUUGGGAGGCAUCUUCUGAUGGUUAAAGUUGGGGACCGUAAGGCCUGACGCUUCAUGAUGAACCCGCGGCCUAUCAGCUAGUCGGUGAGGUAACGGCUCACCAAGGCUAAGACGGGUAGCUGGUCUGAGAGGACGACCAGCCACACUGGAACUGAGACACGGUCCAGACACCUACGGGUGGCAGCAGUCGAGAAUUUUUCACAAUGGGCGCAAGCCUGAUGGAGCGACGCCGCGUGGGGGAUGAAUGGCUUCGGCCCGUAAACCCCUGUCAUUUGCGAUCAAACCUUAUUAUUUAAAAGAUGAUAAGUUGAUAGUAGCGAAAGAGGAAGGG